Molecule: non-coding RNA, 1362 nt
Organism: Bactrocera oleae (olive fruit fly)
Lineage: Eukaryota; Metazoa; Arthropoda; Insecta; Diptera; Tephritidae
Source: RefSeq, a predicted model, not a curated record
UCAUCAUUUCCGAUAUGCAUAAAAAUUUUCAUCGACAACUGCAUUUUAGUACAUCAAAAUAUGCUUAAAAACUAACUAAUUGGAGAACAAUGUCAAAGUUUAACGAAAAAAUUUAAGAAAUCUUUGACUCAAAUACUUUAUUGAUUGCAAAAUAAACAAGUCACACAUAUUUCUUGUAUAAAUUUACAUAACAUAUACAUACGUAAUCGGACAUUAUGUGUUUUCUUUGGCUUGCCAAAUAUGUUUCUCGGCGACACCGUGAACUUUUAGAACGCAUUAGCGACCGGCAGGAGCAGCGUAUCAGCAACGUCAAAUGAUACCAAAGACUGAGGCAGAUUUUUUUCCAAACACUUCGUGAGCUCCGUCGUUCGUUUCGUAGUAAAUCCCAGCCGUUGAAUCGCAUCGAGUGGAAGCGCAUUGAGUACGAGACGAGUCUGUGCUAAAAGUCUUUUGCAACAUCACCAGCUGCUGCUCUGGCUCGCUGGCUGUAUUUUUUUCGUAGCCAACGCCAGCUUAAGCUCCAUCAACGGUAUUUAUAGCAAUGGAUUUUAUUACUUCAAAUGCUGUUCAAACGAGUAUUUGAUACUUCGACUGUGAUUGUUGUAAACACCACAACAUUGUUGCUUUUGUAAAUUUAUUAUAUCGCUCAUUCGUCAAAGCUGCUCGUUUUUCGAAGAAUCGUUUUAGAGCUUCAGUCAAGUGCCGAUUGCAGCAGAAGUUAAGAAGAAACUUCGCCUGCUUUUCAAAGAGUAUGUGAGAGCAUUGGAGCUGCAGAGAGUCGGUUACUGUUGGAAUUUUACUACGCGUGCAUAAAAGUUGAGAGUUAAAACUCGUGCUGCUUAAAGACGAGAUUUUGUCGCAGCAUCCUAUAUUAUUGCUCUCUCCUCCUGUUGCUGGCACUCAGCGCUCAUAUUAUUCACGGCACUCUCACCGCAGCUAACACUCCUUUUCAGCCAUGGCCAAAGUGUCAAAUACAAUUCAAAUAAUACGCGCAUUAAAAUGUCACAUACCUCGCCUCUUUGGUGUAAUCAUAUAAGCCAGUUGUCUGGGUUAUCCGCGCAAAAUGUUAUUGUCCAACUUAUUUACAAGUUAAUGUGUGUGAAAUAAUUUUAAAAUGCCACACCAAAGUAUUGCAACAAUACAUUUCCGGAUAAGUAUGAUUUGUUGAAGUAAAUCUAGGAAUAUUUAUUUAUAUACAAGUAUAUAUGUACAUAUACAUAUGUCUUUACAGAUGCGAUAAAAACAAGAUAAUUAUCUAUAUUUACAAGUGAAUAAAGAAGUUAUUAUAUAAUUAAGGGCAUUGCAAGUGUAUUUAGUCAAUACAUAUGUAUGCAAUUUUAGAAAAUAUAUACUUAAUACUCC